This 497-nucleotide ribosomal RNA is filed under the name uncultured bacterium. RNAcentral describes it as "partial 16S ribosomal RNA". It matches the Rfam family "Bacterial small subunit ribosomal RNA", at positions 28 to 507 of the family's 1533-position model. The record is from RNAcentral.
GAUGAACGCUGGCGGCGUGCCUAAUACAUGCAAGUCGAGCGAACGGACGAGAAGCUUGCUUCUCUGAUGUUAGCGGCGGACGGGUGAGUAACACGUGGAUAACCUACCUAUAAGACUGGGAUAACUUCGGGAAACCGGAGCUAAUACCGGAUAAUAUUUUGAACCGCAUGGUUCAAAAGUGAAAGACGGUCUUGCUGUCACUUAUAGAUGGAUCCGCGCUGCAUUAGCUAGUUGGUAAGGUAACGGCUUACCAAGGCAACGAUGCAUAGCCGACCUGAGAGGGUGAUCGGCCACACUGGAACGGGAACACGGUCCAGACUCCUACGGGAGGCAGCAGUAGGGAAUCGUCCGCAAUGGGCGAAAGCCUGACGGAGCAACGCCGCGUGAGUGAUGAAGGUCUUCGGAUCGUAAAACUCUGUUAUUAGUGAAGAACAUAUGUGUAAGGAACUGUGCACAUCUUGACGGUACCUAAUCAGAAAGCCACGGCUAACUACGUG